Molecule: ribosomal RNA, 253 nt
Filed under: uncultured bacterium
Lineage: Bacteria
Description: partial 16S ribosomal RNA
Rfam family: Bacterial small subunit ribosomal RNA
Source: RNAcentral
UACGUAGGAGACGAGCGUUGUCCGGAGUUACUGGGCGUAAAGGGUGCGCAGGUGGCGGCGCGCGUGGGGGGUGAAAUCGCCCGGCUUAACUGGGCGGGGGCCUUCCAGACGGCGUGGCUUGAGCAGCGGAGGGGGACGUGGAAUUCCUGGUGUAGCGGUGAAAUGCGUAGAUAUCAGGAGGAACACCGGUGGUGUAGACGGCUUUCUGGACCGUAACUGACGCUGAGACACGAAAGCGUGGGUAGCAAACAGG